CCUACGGGAGGCAGCAGUGAGGAAUAUUGGUCAAUGGACGAGAGUCUGAACCAGCCAAGUAGCGUGAAGGAUGACUGCCCUAUGGGUUGUAAACUUCUUUUAUAUGGGAAUAAAAUGUUCCACGUGUGGGAUUUUGUAUGUACCAUAUGAAUAAGGAUCGGCUAACUCCGUGCCAGCAGCCGCGGUAAUACGGGGGAUCCGAGCGUUAUCCGGAUUUAUUGGGUUUAAAGGGAGCGUAGGUGGAUUGUUAAGUCAGUUGUGAAAGGUUGCGGCUCAACCGUAAAAUUGCAGUUGAAACUGGCAGUCUUGAGUACAGUAGAGGUGAGCGGAAUUCGUGGUGUAGCGGUGAAAUGCUUAGAUAUCACGAAGAACUCCGAUUGCGAAGGCAGCUCACUGGACUGCAACUGACACUGAGGCUCGAAAGUGUGGGUAUCAAACAGGAUUAGAUACCCGAGUAGUC
This 460-nucleotide ribosomal RNA is filed under the name uncultured bacterium. RNAcentral describes it as "partial 16S ribosomal RNA". It matches the Rfam family "Bacterial small subunit ribosomal RNA", at positions 338 to 795 of the family's 1533-position model. The record is from RNAcentral.